CCAUUUCUGAGAUUUAUUGGGUUCUGCUGAGUUCUUAUAAUUACGUUCUAAUUAUAUUUCCUUACACAUCCAGAUCCUUCCUACAUAAAUGCAUUGUAAGAGAAACACCUAAUAUUGUUUCGGGCAAUGUCCUGUUUUGUAAAGUCUCUGUCGGCAGUUGUGUUGUCAGCCUAAAAAAAUAAAAAGAGGAAAAGAGAAAAGUUUCUUCUCUAAUCACCGGAAUCACUGUAGAACACACAGACUGUAUCUGAGACAGUUUCCUGUGAGACACCCUCCCUUUAUUGUCUGAAAGUCAAAGCAUCGUGUGCAACCUGUUGCUGGGCCAGGCUGUGGCCGCAAGGAGGAAGAGUGAUGGAGGUAUCAGUGAAACCCAGCUGCCUGGCCUCUGAUCUGAGGUCCCCAGAGGCAAUCUAAAGGUGCAUAAACUAGAGCUACUCAUAUGUAGCAGGAGACAGUGUGUCCAUCAUUUGCCUCAACCCCACAGGUUGCAAUUUCCUCAAAGACUUAGAUUAAUACUGUGUAUCAUUUCCUAAAAUAGCUCCAUCUUUUCCCUAAGUGCCCUCUCUCAUGGGUCCAGGAUGUCCACCCCUUGCCAGGGAUCUGUGGAAGAGAUGCAGGUAAAGGAACCAGAAUGAGAACAGAGAAUGGGACUCACGCCUGAAAAAAAUGACGCACAUGUUUGUACCCCUGGAUUGUAUAACCUCCAGGUGGCAUCAGUAUGAGUCUAACUGACCUGCUUGGUGAUUCCUGGGGGACAGGUAUGGGGAAGUUCUGAAGUCUAUCCUUUAAGACUAUGUUUGUCUCACAGAUGCUGCUCCUUAGGAAUCUUUUGCUCUGGUUGCCCUCAUCACAGCUGAUAAGAACAUCUGCAGCAGAUGGAGCUGAAUUCUGGAGGAAUUCAACCCAGCCAUUAAGGGGUCUUGUUCUUCAUUAUCAGUGGAUCCCUGCGUGGGAAUAUGCACCCUCGCUGACGGUCCAGGUUUAGAGACAUCACCACCUGGGGCUCUUGUUAACAGGAAGACCCGGAUCCCAGGGAAGCCGGGUGGGGCCGAGGUCCUGUGUUUCUAACCAGCUUCUGAGUGAGGCUGAUGCUGAUAUCAGUAAACUCCCUGUGUGUAAGCCUGUUUGGACUGCUGUUUUCCUCACUUGCACCCAAAAGAGAUCAACUGCCAUCCGGAGACCUCAGGCUUCUUCUUUCCCACCCUCCAUGCUGUUUUUUAUCCCAUGCCUUCCCUCAGACCUCCCCUCUUUGGGGAGCUUGGAUAUUGCCUCCUCCGGGGAGCCUUCCCUGAUUCCUGCUUCCUGCCCUCAGAGAUUUUCAGAAGCAAAUCCCAGGGCAACCAUUCACAACCUUGACUGUAAAAUAGAAUCACCUGGAAGCUUGGAAACCAUCUGCUCUCCAGGCCACACCCCAGACCAAACAAUCCAGAAUGUCUACAGUUGCAAGCAUGUCAGUGUCUUAAG
Non-coding RNA from Odocoileus virginianus texanus, 1464 nucleotides. The record is from RefSeq and is a predicted model, not a curated record. Lineage: Eukaryota; Metazoa; Chordata; Mammalia; Artiodactyla; Cervidae.